UUGGAGGGCAAGUCUGGUGCCAGCAGCCGCGGUAAUUCCAGCUCCAAUAGCGUAUAUUAAAGUUGUUGCAGUUAAAAAGCUCGUAGUUGAAUUUCGGGAUUAGUGCGCCGGUCGUGCCUUCGGUAUGUACUGGUGUUACUGGUUCCUACCUUCUGACGAACCGUCAUGUCAUUAAUUUGGUGUGGCGGGGAAUCAGGACUGUUACUUUGAAAAAAUUAGAGUGUUUAAAGCAGGCUAACGCUUGAAUACAUUAGCAUGGAAUAAUGAAAUAGGACGUUCGAUCCUAUUUUGUUGGUUUCUAGGAUUGACGUAAUGAUUAAUAGGGAUAGUUGGGGGCAUUAGUAUUCAAUUGUCAGAGGUGAAAUUCUUGGAUUUAUUGAAGACUAACUACUGCGAAAGCAUUUGCCAAGGAUGUUUUCAUUAAUCAAGAACGAAAGUUAGGGGAUCGAAGACGAUCAGAUACCGUCGUAGUCUUAACCAUAAACUAUGCCGACUAGGAAUCGGAUGAUGUUAUUUUUAAUGACUCAUUCGGCGCCUUACGGGAAA
RNAcentral lists this ribosomal RNA (546 nucleotides) under uncultured Glomeromycotina. Its description in RNAcentral is "SSU rRNA". It matches the Rfam family "Eukaryotic small subunit ribosomal RNA", at positions 548 to 1097 of the family's 1831-position model. The record is from RNAcentral. Lineage: Eukaryota; Fungi; Glomeromycota.